RNAcentral lists this small nuclear RNA (105 nucleotides) under Symbiodinium microadriaticum. Lineage: Eukaryota; Dinophyceae; Suessiales; Symbiodiniaceae. The record is from RNAcentral.
AACCUUUCGGGGGUCAUCCGAUAAAACUGGAAUCCCUUCAGAGAAGAUUAGCAUGGCCCCUGCGCAAGGAUGACGUGAACAAAUCGAGAAGUGUACCAAGUAAAA